RNAcentral lists this ribosomal RNA (134 nucleotides) under Podila humilis. Its description in RNAcentral is "Mortierella humilis partial large subunit ribosomal RNA". It matches the Rfam family "Eukaryotic large subunit ribosomal RNA", at positions 99 to 229 of the family's 3401-position model. Lineage: Eukaryota; Fungi; Mortierellomycota; Mortierellomycetes; Mortierellales; Mortierellaceae. The record is from RNAcentral.
CGGGAUGAGCUCAAAUUUGAAAUCUGGCUGGUUUACUAGUCCGAGUUGUAAUUUAAAGAAGCGUUUUCGGUGGCAGCCUGGGUAUAAAUCCUUUGGAAUAGGGUAUCAUAGAGGGUGAGAAUCCCGUAUGUGAC